Molecule: ribosomal RNA, 662 nt
Filed under: Escherichia coli
Lineage: Bacteria; Pseudomonadati; Pseudomonadota; Gammaproteobacteria; Enterobacterales; Enterobacteriaceae
Description: partial 23S ribosomal RNA
Rfam family: Bacterial large subunit ribosomal RNA
Source: RNAcentral
GUUGGGUAGGGGAGCGUUCUGUAAGCCUGCGAAGGUGUGCUGUGAGGCAUGCUGGAGGUAUCAGAAGUGCGAAUGCUGACAUAAGUAACGAUAAAGCGGGUGAAAAGCCCGCUCGCCGGAAGACCAAGGGUUCCUGUCCAACGUUAAUCGGGGCAGGGUGAGUCGACCCCUAAGGCGAGGCCGAAAGGCGUAGUCGAUGGGAAACAGGUUAAUAUUCCUGUACUUGGUGUUACUGCGAAGGGGGGACGGAGAAGGCUAUGUUGGCCGGGCGACGGUUGUCCCGGUUUAAGCGUGUAGGCUGGUUUUCCAGGCAAAUCCGGAAAAUCAAGGCUGAGGCGUGAUGACGAGGCACUACGGUGCUGAAGCAACAAAUGCCCUGCUUCCAGGAAAAGCCUCUAAGCAUCAGGUAACAUCAAAUCGUACCCCAAACCGACACAGGUGGUCAGGUAGAGAAUACCAAGGCGCUUGAGAGAACUCGGGUGAAGGAACUAGGCAAAAUGGUGCCGUAACUUCGGGAGAAGGCACGCUGAUAUGUAGGUGAAGUCCCUCGCGGAUGGAGCUGAAAUCAGUCGAAGAUACCAGCUGGCUGCAACUGUUUAUUAAAAACACAGCACUGUGCAAACACGAAAGUGGACGUAUACGGUGUGACGCCUGCCCGGUGC